ACUCCUACGGGAGGCAGCAGUGAGGAAUAUUGGUCAAUGGGCGGAAGCCUGAACCAGCCAAGUAGCGUGCAGGAUGACGGCCCUAUGGGUUGUAAACUGCUUUUAUACAGGAAUAAAGUUAGCCACGUGUGGUUAUUUGUAGGUACUGUAUGAAUAAGGACCGGCUAAUUCCGUGCCAGCAGCCGCGGUAAUAC
Molecule: ribosomal RNA, 194 nt
Filed under: uncultured bacterium
Lineage: Bacteria
Description: partial 16S ribosomal RNA
Rfam family: Bacterial small subunit ribosomal RNA
Source: RNAcentral